CGUCCGCCGGCGACCGGCGCACGGGUGAGUAACACGUAUGCAACCUGGCCGCCACAGGGGGAUAACCCGCGGAAACGCGGCCUAAUACCCCGUGACGCCACCGGAGGGCAUCCUCCGGUGGCCAAAGGAGCGAUCCGGUGGCGGAUGGGCAUGCGGCGCAUUAGCUAGACGGCGGGGUGACGGCCCACCGUGGCGACGAUGCGUAGGGGUUCUGAGAGGAAGGCCCCCCACACUGGGACUGAGACACGGCCCAGACUCCUACGGGAGGCAGCAG
RNAcentral lists this ribosomal RNA (274 nucleotides) under uncultured bacterium. Its description in RNAcentral is "partial 16S ribosomal RNA". It matches the Rfam family "Bacterial small subunit ribosomal RNA", at positions 82 to 354 of the family's 1533-position model. The record is from RNAcentral.